This 72-nucleotide transfer RNA is filed under the name Neogymnocrinus richeri. Its description in RNAcentral is "tRNA-Asn". Lineage: Eukaryota; Metazoa; Echinodermata; Crinoidea; Cyrtocrinida; Sclerocrinidae. The record is from RNAcentral.
UGGGUUGAAGCCUUAUGAUGAGGUGCUUGGCCGUUAACCGAGAGAUAACAAGAUCAAUACUUGUCAGCUCAG